Phrynosoma platyrhinos (Desert horned lizard) is the source of this 72-nucleotide non-coding RNA. The record is from the annotation of a GenBank genome assembly. Lineage: Eukaryota; Metazoa; Chordata; Lepidosauria; Squamata; Phrynosomatidae.
GCCAAUGUACUAUAGUGGUUUGAACAGUAGACUAGGACUCUGGAGACCAGGGUUCGAAUCCUUGCUCAGCCA